This 1206-nucleotide long non-coding RNA is filed under the name Coturnix japonica (Japanese quail). Its description in RNAcentral is "lncRNA (ENSCJPG00005014619.1)". Lineage: Eukaryota; Metazoa; Chordata; Aves; Galliformes; Phasianidae. The record is from RNAcentral.
AUGGUGAAGGGCUCCGGCAAUCCAGGGUUCGGACGGGGCGGCGGCGGCUCUGCCAAGCCCGCAGCACCCCGCGCUCCCCCGGCUCGGCUCGAAGCGGCUCCGCUCGGCGCGCCCGGAGCCCGUCCCCCGCCCCAGCCCGCCCGAGCCCCGCUCGCCGCCUGCCUGCCUGUCCCGUUCCUAGUGGGUUGCCUCGGUCCUGCGUGCCGUAUAUAUACACCCCCGCAGCAGGGCCGGGGAUCGCCCUCUAGUGUCCUGCUGGGAACCUCUGACCACCGCGCCCCGGGUCUUAGCGCCCCGGCCCGGCCGUCCGCCCUCCCUCGGGAGCUCCGCUCUCACCGAGCCCUGCCCGGUCCCUGUGCUCCGCCCGCCCCCCCGCUCUGGGGGCUCGGAGCCCGCAGCGCCCGAUCCCGUUCCACCGGGGAGCAGCCCCGCAGCUCACCAUUACGCGCGAACCAUUACGCCGGGCUGGAUGGCGCACGGUGCCCGCCCCCGGGGCCCAAGGCGCCGUCCCAGCGGAGUUACCGGAGCUCGGCCCGGUUCGACGCGCUGGGUUCACCAGCUGAGCCCCGUGGGGACCCGCGGAGCGCGGCCCCGAGCGGCGCUGGGACCCGACCGGGAGCGCGCCCUGCGGGGCGGGGCUGCGGGGCUCGGCGCUGCGGGACGGGGCCGUGGGCAGAGCCGGGCCGGGACGCGCUGCCGCUGUCCCACGGCUCCCACCGUGCGCGGGCGGUGGGGGAUGAACGCACGGGGCUGCAUCUCCGUCCCGUCCCGUCCCGCGGCGCGAAUCGGGCAGGUAAAUUUAAUCACGGAUUUCCCCAAAUGCAAACACCGCAAUCUCGGGCUGUGUCGGGCGUGGACCGGCUCCCGGCGUUUACCCGAGAUAAACCCGAGCGUGCCGCUCGGAAGGCGAAACGCCGGGGCUCAGCUCCGAGUCCGGCCCGAGCAGCUGCUGGGAGACACGCGGCCCGAGGGACCCGCGCUCCCUGCACGGGACGGAUUCGGGGCACGGAGCUGCCGCCUCCCCGUCCAGCCGGACCUGCCGACCCCAACUGCCGGCCCUUAGAUCCGCUGGGCCGGGCCGCUCGGAAAGCAGCACAGUGGAAGGAGGGACGCACCGAGGGCAGUGAAGCAGGGGAGAGCGAGGGAGAUCGGCAGAGAAAACUCCAGUAUGGCUAUGGCUACAGAAAGAAUUGCCACAUUUCUUAG